GCUAUGGGGCUUGCUCCAUAGACUGAGUGGCAGACGGGUGAGGAACGCGUGGGAAUCUACCUAGCAGCGUGGGAUAACUUCUGGAAACGGGAGCUAAUACCACAUACGUCCUUCGGGAGAAAGAUUUAUCACUGUUAGAUGAGCCCGCGUUAGAUUAGCUAGUUGGUAAGGUAAAAGCUUACCAAGUCGACGAUCUAUAGCUGGUCUGAGAGGAUGGAC
RNAcentral lists this ribosomal RNA (219 nucleotides) under uncultured bacterium. RNAcentral describes it as "partial 16S ribosomal RNA". It matches the Rfam family "Bacterial small subunit ribosomal RNA", at positions 70 to 305 of the family's 1533-position model. The record is from RNAcentral.